RNAcentral lists this ribosomal RNA (231 nucleotides) under Escherichia coli. Its description in RNAcentral is "partial 23S ribosomal RNA". It matches the Rfam family "Bacterial large subunit ribosomal RNA", at positions 2399 to 2629 of the family's 2925-position model. Lineage: Bacteria; Pseudomonadati; Pseudomonadota; Gammaproteobacteria; Enterobacterales; Enterobacteriaceae. The record is from RNAcentral.
GCGAAAGCAGGUCAUAGUGAUCCGGUGGUUCUGAAUGGAAGGGCCAUCGCUCAACGGAUAAAAGGUACUCCGGGGAUAACAGGCUGAUACCGCCCAAGAGUUCAUAUCGACGGCGGUGUUUGGCACCUCGAUGUCGGCUCAUCACAUCCUGGGGCUGAAGUAGGUCCCAAGGGUAUGGCUGUUCGCCAUUUAAAGUGGUACGCGAGCUGGGUUUAGAACGUCGUGAGACAG